RNAcentral lists this ribosomal RNA (397 nucleotides) under uncultured bacterium. Its description in RNAcentral is "partial 16S ribosomal RNA". It matches the Rfam family "Bacterial small subunit ribosomal RNA", at positions 523 to 918 of the family's 1533-position model. The record is from RNAcentral.
AUACGUAGGGGGCGAGCGUUGUCCGGAAUGACUGGGCGUAAAGGGCGUGUAGGCGGCGGUGUAAGUCUGGAGUGAAAGUCCCGCAUUCAAUGUGGGAAUUGCUUUGGAUACUGCAGUGCUAGAGUGCGGAAGAGGUAAGUGGAAUUCCCAGUGUAGCGGUGAAAUGCGUAGAGAUUGGGAGGAACACCAGUGGCGAAGGCGACUUGCUGGGGCGUAACUGACGCUGAGGCGCGAAAGCGUGGGGAGCGAACAGGAUUAUAUACCCUGGUAGUCCACGCGGUAAACGAUGAAUGCUAGGUGUUGCGGGUAUCGACCCCUGCAGUGCCGGAGUAAACACAAUAAGCAUUCCGCCUGGGGAGUACGGCCGCAAGGUUGAAACUCAAAUGAAUUGACGGGG